CCUACGGGUGGCAGCAGUGGGGAAUAUUGGGCAAUGGGCGCAAGCCUGACCCAGCAACGCCGCGUGAAGGAAGAAGGCUUUCGGGUUGUAAACUUCUUUUCUCAGGGACGAAGCAAGUGACGGUACCUGAGGAAUAAGCCACGGCUAACUACGUGCCAGCAGCCGCGGUAAUACGUAGGUGGCAAGCGUUAUCCGGAUUUACUGGGUGUAAAGGGCGUGUAGGCGGGACUGCAAGUCAGAUGUGAAAACCACGGGCUCAACCUGUGGCCUGCAUUUGAAACUGUUUUUCUUGAGUGCUGGAGAGGCAAUCGGAAUUCCGUGUGUAGCGGUGAAAUGCGUAGAUAUACGGAGGAACACCAGUGGCGAAGGCGGAUUGCUGGACAGUAACUGACGCUGAGGCGCGAAAGCGUGGGGAGCAAACAGGAUUAGAUACCCCUGUAGUC
Molecule: ribosomal RNA, 443 nt
Filed under: uncultured bacterium
Lineage: Bacteria
Description: partial 16S ribosomal RNA
Rfam family: Bacterial small subunit ribosomal RNA
Source: RNAcentral